Molecule: ribosomal RNA, 350 nt
Filed under: uncultured Lactobacillus sp.
Lineage: Bacteria; Bacillati; Bacillota; Bacilli; Lactobacillales; Lactobacillaceae
Description: bacterial SSU rRNA
Rfam family: Bacterial small subunit ribosomal RNA
Source: RNAcentral
AAAGAAGUUUAAAAAAGGACGGCGUAAAGCUGUCGCUAAAGGAUGGACCUGCGAUGCAUUAGCUAGUUGGUAAGGUAACGGCUUACCAAGGCGAUGAUGCAUAGCCGAGUUGAGAGACUGAUCGGCCACAUUGGGACUGAGACACGGCCCAAACUCCUACGGGAGGCAGCAGUAGGGAAUUUUCCACAAUGGACGCAAGUCUGAUGGAGCAACGCUGCGUGAGUGAAGAAGGUUUUCGGAUCGUAAAGCUCUGUUGUUGGUGAAGAAGGAUAGAGGUAGUAACUGGCCUUUAUUUGACGGUAAUCAACCAGAAAGUCACGGCUAACUACGUGCCAGCAGCCGCGGUAAAU